RNAcentral lists this ribosomal RNA (473 nucleotides) under uncultured bacterium. RNAcentral's name for it is "bacterial SSU rRNA". It matches the Rfam family "Bacterial small subunit ribosomal RNA", at positions 355 to 825 of the family's 1533-position model. The record is from RNAcentral.
UGGGGAAUUGUUCGCAAUGGGCGCAAGCCUGACGACGCAACGCCGCGUGGGGGAUGAAGGUCUUCGGAUCGUAAACCCCUGUCGAAUGGGACGAAUAGCCCGCGAAUUAAUACCUCGUGGGAAUGACGGUACCGUUAAAGGAAGCCACGGCUAACUCUGUGCCAGCAGCCGCGGUAAUACAGAGGUGGCAAGCGUUGUUCGGAAUUACUGGGCGUAAAGGGCGCGUAGGCGGCCAUCUAAGUCAGACGUGAAAUCCCCCGGCUCAACCUGGGAACUGCGUCUGAUACUGGGAGGCUAGAGUUUGGGAGAGGGAUGUAGAAUUCCAGGUGUAGCGGUGAAAUGCGUAGAUAUCUGGAGGAACACCGGUGGCGAAGGCGGCAUCCUGGACCGAUACUGACGCUGAGGAGCGAAAGCCAGGGGAGCAAACGGGAUUAGAUACCCCUGUAGUCCCUGAGCGGGCUGGCAAGGCGCAU